UACGGGGGGGGCAAGCGUUGUUCGGAAUUACUGGGCGUAAAGGGCUCGUAGGCGGCCAACUAAGUCAUACGUGAAAUCCCUCAGCUUAACUGGGGAACUGCGUGUGAUACUGGAUGGCUUGGAUUUGGGAGAGGGAUGCGGAAUUCCAGGUGUAGCGGUGAAAUGCGUAGAUAUCAAGAGGAACACCUGAGGUGAAGACGGGUUGCUGGGCCAACACUGACGCUGAGGCGCGAAAGCCAGGGGAGCAAACGGG
Molecule: ribosomal RNA, 253 nt
Filed under: uncultured bacterium
Lineage: Bacteria
Description: partial 16S ribosomal RNA
Rfam family: Bacterial small subunit ribosomal RNA
Source: RNAcentral